GGGGGUACAGCUCAGCUGUAGGGCACAUGCUUAGCGUGCAUGAGGUUGUGGGUUAAAUCCUCAGUACCUCCA
Molecule: transfer RNA, 72 nt
Filed under: Camelus bactrianus (Bactrian camel)
Lineage: Eukaryota; Metazoa; Chordata; Mammalia; Artiodactyla; Camelidae
Also listed under: 2 other names
Rfam family: tRNA
About the family: Transfer RNA (tRNA) molecules are approximately 80 nucleotides in length. Their secondary structure includes four short double-helical elements and three loops (D, anti-codon, and T loops). Further hydrogen bonds mediate the characteristic L-shaped molecular structure. tRNAs have two regions of fundamental functional importance: the anti-codon, which is responsible for specific mRNA codon recognition, and the 3' end, to which the tRNAs corresponding amino acid is attached (by aminoacyl-tRNA synthetases). tRNAs cope with the degeneracy of the genetic code in two manners: having more than one tRNA (with a specific anti-codon) for a particular amino acid; and 'wobble' base-pairing, i.e. permitting non-standard base-pairing at the 3rd anti-codon position.
Source: Rfam by way of RNAcentral